UUCCGGUUGAUCCUGCCGGACCUGACUGCUAUCGGAUUGAUACUAAGCCAUGCGAGUCAUUGUAGCAAUACAAGGCAUACGGCUCAGUAACGCGUAGUCAACCUAACCUAUGGACGGGAAUAACCUCGGGAAACUGAGAAUAAUGCCCGAUAGAACACUAUACCUGGAAUGGUUUGUGUUCCAAAUGAUUUAUCGCCGUAGGAUGGGACUGCGGCCUAUCAGUUUGUUGGUGAGGUAAUGGCCCACCAAGACUAUUACAGGUACGGGCUCUGAGAGGAGUAGCCCGGAGAUGGGUACUGAGACACGGACCCAGGCCCUACGGGGCGCAGCAGUCGCGAAAACUUUGCAAUACACGAAAGUGUGACAGGGCUAUCCCGAGUGCCAUCCGCUGAGGAAGGCUUUUACCCAGUUUAGAACGCUGGGAGAAUAAGGAGAGGGCAAGUCUGGUGUCAGCCGCCGCGGUAAUACCAGCUCUCCGAGUGGUAGGGAUGAUUAUUGGGCUUAAAGCGUCCGUAGCCGGCUUAGCAAGUCUCCUGUUAAAUUCAGCGACCUAAUCGUUGAGCCGCGGGAGAUACUGUUGGGCUAGGAGGCGGGAGGGGCCGACGGUAUUCUCGGGGUAGGGGUGAAAUCCUAUAAUCCCGGGAAGACCACCUGUGGCGAAGGCGGUCUACCAGAACACGUCCGACGGUGAGGGAUGAAAGCUGGGGGAGCAAACCGGAUUAGAUACCCGGGUAGUCCCAGCUGUAAACUAUGCAAACUCAGUGAUGCAUUGGCUUGUGGCCAAUGCAGUGCUGCAGGGAAGCCGUUAAGUUUGCCGCCUGGGAAGUACGUACGCAAGUAUGAAACUUAAAGGAAUUGGCGGGGGAGCACCACAAGGGGUGAAGCCUGCGGUUCAAUUGGAUUCAACGCCGGA
RNAcentral lists this ribosomal RNA (913 nucleotides) under uncultured archaeon. RNAcentral describes it as "partial 16S ribosomal RNA". It matches the Rfam family "Archaeal small subunit ribosomal RNA", at positions 1 to 922 of the family's 1478-position model. The record is from RNAcentral.